CGGCGAACGGGUGAGUAACACGUGGGCAACCUGCCCCUAGCUCUGGGACAACUCCUCGAAAGAGGGGCUAAUACCGGAUAUGACCAUCAGGUGCAUGUUUGAUGGUGGAAAGUUUUUCGGCUAGGGAUGGGCCCGCGGCCUAUCAGCUUGUUGGUGGGGUAAUGGCCCACCAAGGCGACGACGGGUAGCCGGCCUGAGAGGGCGAUCGGCCACACUGGGACUGAGACACGGCCCAG
Molecule: ribosomal RNA, 236 nt
Filed under: uncultured bacterium
Lineage: Bacteria
Description: partial 16S ribosomal RNA
Rfam family: Bacterial small subunit ribosomal RNA
Source: RNAcentral